Molecule: long non-coding RNA, 497 nt
Filed under: Capsicum annuum
Lineage: Eukaryota; Viridiplantae; Streptophyta; Magnoliopsida; Solanales; Solanaceae
Description: long non-coding RNA (CANN_LNC019181)
Source: RNAcentral
ACCGAGAAAGAGUAAUUGGAAAGAAUAAGAUUUAUAGUUUAUAAAUUUUUCGGCAAGAAACUCACCCGAAACUAAUGAAAAAUCCACCCAAGACUAACUGACCCUCCCCACCGGCGAAAUAACUCACCAAAAACCGCUAGAACCACCUCAAAAUCAGUUUAUUACGAUGACCCUCUUUGCCAUAAAAUGGCCAAAAUCUGCAAGAUCUCACUCCACCCACGCUGCCAUCCACCAUGUGGAGGGUGAACCAACUAUCAAACCAGAUCUGACUGACAAACCCAUUUAAAUGCUGCUGUCGGCCACUCUAUCAUCACCACCAUUCCCCUCUUCCCUUUCCCGUCGUCGAAAAUCCGCUUAAAAUCUGGCCAUGGCCACUGCUGGCAAACUAGUAAAGCUAGCAGCCCUGUUACGCUGCUAUUUCGACGGCGUAUUUUUUGCCGGAAAAUGGUGAAUCUCCACCGGAGAACUCAUGCACACGGAGAGGAUAAUAAAAAAGU